CCCUUAGAUGUUCUGGGCUGAACGCGUGCUACACUGAUAUUGCCAAUAUGUCAUUCUUAUCCGAAAUGGAUUGGGUAAUCAAGUAAUGAAAUUUCAUGCUUGGAAUCGGUAAUUGCAAUUUUAUCGUGAACGAGGAAUUCCUAGUAAGCACUAGUCAUCAGCUAAUGUUGAUUAUGUCCCUGCCCUUUGUACACACCGCCCGUCGCUACUACUGAUUGGGUGUUCAAGUGAGAUGCUUAGACCCUUGUUGCAUGGUUCAUUAUUGUGCUCCGAAAGGAAAAAGUUUCAAGCUUGAGUGUCUAGAGGAAGUAAAAGUCGUAACA
This 323-nucleotide ribosomal RNA is filed under the name uncultured eukaryote. RNAcentral's name for it is "partial 18S ribosomal RNA". It matches the Rfam family "Eukaryotic small subunit ribosomal RNA", at positions 1470 to 1796 of the family's 1831-position model. The record is from RNAcentral.